Molecule: ribosomal RNA, 253 nt
Filed under: uncultured bacterium
Lineage: Bacteria
Description: partial 16S ribosomal RNA
Rfam family: Bacterial small subunit ribosomal RNA
Source: RNAcentral
UACGUAGGGUGCAAGCGUUGUCCGGAAUCAUUGGGCGUAAAGCGCGUGUAGGCGGCCCGGUAAGUCCGCUGUGAAAGUCCAGGGCUCAACCCUGGGAUGCCGGUGGAUACUGUCGGGCUCGAGUCCGGAAGAGGCGAGUGGAAUUCCUGGUGUAGCGGUGAAAUGCGCAGAUAUCAGGAGGAACACCGAUGGCGAAGGCAGCUCGCUGGGACGUGACUGACGCUGAGACGCGAAAGCGUGGGGAGCAAACAGG